CGGCAUGCUUAACACAUGCAAGUCGAACGAAGACCCAGAGCUUGCUCUGGAUCUCUUAGUGGCGAACGGGUGAGUAACGCGUGGGAAUCUACCUAGAAAUGGGGAAUAACUAUUGGAAACGAUAGCUAAUACCGCAUAAUCCCUCUGGGGGAAAGGCUUCGGUCGUUUUUAGAUGAGCCCGCGUUAGAUUAGGCUGUUGGUGAGGUAAUGGCUCACCAAACCUGCAAUCUAUAGCUGGUCUGAGAGGAUGAUCAGCCACACUGGGACUGAGACACGGCCCAGACUCCUACGGGAGGCAGCAGUGGGGAAUAUUGGACAAUGGGGGAAACCCUGAUCCAGCAAUGCCGCGUGAGUGAUGAAGGCCUUAGGGUUGUAAAACUCUUUCAGAAGUGAAGAUGAUGACGGUAACUUCAGAAGAAGCUCCGGCUAACUCCGUGCCAGCAGCCGCGGUAAUACGGAGGGAGCUAGCGUUGUUCGGAAUUACUGGGCGUAAAGAGCGUGUAGGCUGUUAGGUAAGUCAGAGGUGAAAUCCCUAAGCUCAACUUAGGAACUGCCUUUGAUACUAUCUUACUAGAGAUCGAGAGAAGUUGGCGGAAUUCCAAGUGUAGAGGUGAAAUUCGUAGAUAUUUGGAAGAACACCAGUGGCGAAAGCGGCCAACUGGCUCGUUUCUGACGCUAAGACGCGAAAGCGUGGGUAGCAAACAGGAUUAGAUACCCUGGUAGUCCACGCCGUAAACGAUGAGUGCUAGCCGUUUGUGAUUUAUCACAAGUGGUGCAGCUAACGCGUUAAGCACUCCGCCUGGGGAGUACGA
Molecule: ribosomal RNA, 812 nt
Filed under: uncultured Alphaproteobacteria bacterium
Lineage: Bacteria; Pseudomonadati; Pseudomonadota; Alphaproteobacteria
Description: bacterial SSU rRNA
Rfam family: Bacterial small subunit ribosomal RNA
Source: RNAcentral